UCUUAAACAAUUUGAACCUGAACCCAAUUUCAUCAUAGCCCAGUAUUUGAGUUAUAAUUCUAUAAUUGACAUCACAACUCAACCACAAUUAAACAAACCUGGGCACACUCCACCCCUUAGCAAAGGUCGAAGUGUGAGUAAUAAGGGCGUGCGCAAGAUCCAAAAGGUUGUCAGGAAGUAGCCCGUGUUCAACAGAAAGUUCCCAUCACGAUCUCCAUUUUUUGUUUGGGGUUAAGCCCAAACCCAAUCCCGACUGCAUUAUCGAAAGAAACGAAAAACAGAAAAGCAAACAUGCAAAUACACAGAUUUAUAGUAGUUCACUAAACUCUGCAUUGCCUUGGUGCUGCAGAUUUUUGUCACUUAUUAUGAAGGAAAUGACAAGGUUUUUCCUUGCACGCCUCUCUUUUGUCACACACAAGUGACAGACAAAUGAUCCCCUCAGUAGAAAACUAGGGAUUCCUAAUACAAAAGUAUGAAUGCCCAAUAUAAUAGAUCUAGCAGAUAGGUGAAAAGUGUAAGAAGGCUCCACAAAGUCUAACAUUCCGAAAAGAUACCGAGGAAAAGGGGAUUUAUCUAAGAUUUAAUGUUGCUUUGUGAUAUGCCCACCAGAUGCUUGUUGAAAUUUCCAAUCGGUAGAAGCCUUUUUUCUUGACAAGUGAGAAAGAUGGGUUUAAGAAUUUAUUGCACUCAGGAAGUUUAACGAUUUCAUUACUUGAUGUCUUUAGAAGAACCUUGCAAAGUGGCAGACCACUAGGCUACUAUUGUUCCAUCGUUAUAUCUUUCAAUAUGGUUCUCUAAUUUAGGUGCAUCGGUCUAAUCUAUUCUUCAUUUACCUUGUCAUCUUUUUUCUUCUUGAUUGUUGGGUAUCAUUUUUUAACUUAUUUAUUUUGUGGGUUGGAUUCUGGUUUACAAUUGUGGAUCUAAACUGAUUAUAGAAUCUGAUUAUUACAAAGAUUUUGAUUUAAGUGAUGUAUUUGAGACCGGUGCCAGUACUUAAACACAUGUUCCAACAAAGUAAAAUUUGCUUCAGGGUAGGGAUAGAUAUACAAGUUAUUUUUUUUAUUAUCAAGUACCAAUGAACCAAGAUAUACAUUCCUAGACACCCCUAAGACAGGCAGUUCCUAAGAAUAUUUUUGUUGCAUUCUUUUUAUGCUGCAUUUUGAAGCUUUCAUAGGCAUUGUUUUCAAUGGUUAUCAGAAUUACAACUUCAAGAGAAACAUUUACAUUAUGUUCUGUAAUUCAAGUUGAAAAAGGAGUUGAAUUGUUGAUUGUCUUUUGCAAUCUCAUCAUUCAUCUUCAUAUUUUUUGGCUUGGUAUUCUCAGUCUCUCACUGUUAAACUUUUUGAUUGAACAAGUUUUAUCUUAACUACUCAUUUUCCCAUUUUUGUUUACCUGCGAAGGAUUUUUAAAUCUUGAUUCUAUUUGUUGUGAAAAGAGAAAUAUUCUUUGAUUGAUUUUCUCGUUUGUGCUAAGGCUAAUUUAAUACAUUAAUUUGUCUCUAUUUUGUCAAGAAUGAAAUAUCUUAAAAACUUAUCCAUAUACAUGAAUCUUGGACCAAUAUAAUAAAUAUCUGUCUCUAUUGACUGAGGGAAACUUCUCUUGAUUGAUGAUAAAUCGAUAUGGAUUCUUUUGAUUGUAGAAAUGCUAUGUGAGGCCAAGUAAUCUCAUUGAACUUUCUUACUGUACAGUAUUAUUAUCAGUUUGAUUUGAUUUUGGUUUGUGUGUGUGUGUGUGUGUGUGUGUUUGUUUUUAUCUUCUCAUUAUUUUAUUGAUGAACAAAAGAAGGCAAAAUCUACAGAAUCAAAAGGGAAGAAGGAAACGAAAGCAAAAAAUAUAUGAAUACACCUAAACGUCCUCUAACUUCCUUCUUCCUUUUCGCGUGCAAUUUCUUUUCCUUUUAUUUCUAUAUUGCACAACUUGAGGAAUUUGUUUAAUAUUAUGUUUGAUGUAAAUUAUUACAGGGAUGAUUUUAGGAAAGAGUACAAGGAGAAUAAUUCUGAAUGCAAAAGUGUAAGAGACGUGAAAUUCUUGAAGGUUUUCUACUAUGCAUUUCAAUUCUAGGUUUCUAUCAUAACAUGUUUAGUUUCUUGAAUAUUAGGUAGCGAAGGAUGGUGGUGAGAAAUGGAAAUCCAUGACUACUGAAGUGAUUUUUUUUUUUUUUUUUUUUUUUUUUUUGGAUCACCAAGAAAAACAAUUCUAUGAAGAUAGGUCGUAGAACUUAAAGCAAAAUAUGUAAAGGCCAUGAAGGCAACUCUACAUUUACUUGUUUUUAUGUUGAGAACACCAGUUACUGAACUGAGUAUAAUGUUAUUUAUAAUUGCUUUGUUUUACUUUCAAA
RNAcentral lists this long non-coding RNA (2338 nucleotides) under Olea europaea subsp. europaea. The record is from RNAcentral. Lineage: Eukaryota; Viridiplantae; Streptophyta; Magnoliopsida; Lamiales; Oleaceae.